AUGUCUGUUUUCAAAGCACAAAGAGUUCUUGACGAGAUUCGCUGGCGUUACUACGAGGAAACGGUUAUGAUACUAAACCUCAUGCCCUAUCGAGCAUCUUAUCCCAUCUUAAAGUUGGUUUAUUCGGCAGCCGCAAAUGGUACUCAUUAUAGGGAUUUCGACAAAGCGAAUUUAUUUAUUACUAAAGCCGAAGUCAGUAGGAGUACUAUUAUGAAGAAAUUCAGACCUCAAGCUCGAGGACGUAGUUUCCCCAUAAAAAAGCAUGUGUCAUAUAAGAAUUGUACUAAAUAUAGUAAAGAAAUCUAA
Molecule: ribosomal RNA, 306 nt
Filed under: Triticum aestivum (bread wheat)
Lineage: Eukaryota; Viridiplantae; Streptophyta; Magnoliopsida; Poales; Poaceae
Description: partial small subunit ribosomal RNA
Source: RNAcentral